This 54-nucleotide transfer RNA is filed under the name Bisetocreagris titanium. RNAcentral describes it as "tRNA-Ser". The record is from RNAcentral. Lineage: Eukaryota; Metazoa; Arthropoda; Arachnida; Pseudoscorpiones; Neobisiidae.
GACUUCUUAUCUUAUUAAAAGAAUUUAUUUUGAAAAUAAAAGAAAAAAGAGUUA